CAGUAGCCGCGGGAAUACGUAGGGUGCGAGCGUUAAUCGGAAUUACUGGGCGUAAAGCGUGCGCAGGCGGUUCUGUAAGACAGGCGUGAAAUCCCCGGGCUCAACCUGGGAAUGGCGCUUGUGACUGCAAAGCUAGAGUGCGGCAGAGGGGGAUGGAAUUCCGCGUGUAGCAGUGAAAUGCGUAGAUAUGCGGAGGAACACCGAUGGCGAAGGCAAUCCCCUGGGCCUGCACUGACGCUCAUGCACGAAAGCGUGGGGAGCAAACAGGAUUAGAUACCCCAGUAGUCCCUGUCUCUUAUAC
RNAcentral lists this ribosomal RNA (301 nucleotides) under uncultured bacterium. RNAcentral's name for it is "partial 16S ribosomal RNA". It matches the Rfam family "Bacterial small subunit ribosomal RNA", at positions 509 to 807 of the family's 1533-position model. The record is from RNAcentral.